AUCGCAAAGAAAAAGACAACCUAAAGACGGGAGGGGGAGGGCGAAGAGAAUUUUCCCCUCCAGUUUCGUGGCGGCCAGACCUCUUCUCCAAGCCCCCAGCCCACCGCCGCUCUUCUCCCCCAACCCUCUUCUUAUCUUUCCAGUUAAACUCCCCUCUUCUCUUCCAUCUCUUUUUUUUCUCUCUCUGCCGCCGCCGCCGCCGCCGCCGCCGCCGCCAUGAAGGGACCGGGGCUCUUCUCCGACAUUGGGAAGAAGGCCAAAGAUGUGCUGACAAAGGACUACAGCUGUGACCAAAAGCUAACCAUCUCGACCAACAGCGCAUCUGGAGUGGGCCUUACUUCUGCUGCAGUGAAGAAAGGGGGCCUUUAUUCUUUUGACAUUGGUACACAAUACAAGUACAAGAACACCCUUAUCAAUGUUAAAGUCGACACAGAUUCAAAUGUCUCAACAACUCUGACCAUGUUAGAGAUCUUGCCCUCUAUGAAAACAAUUGCUUCUUUUAAGCUGCCAGAUUACAAUUCUGGGAAGCUGGAGAUUCAAUAUUUCCAUCACCAUGCAAGUUUUACCACAGCUGUGGCCUUGAAGCAAUCAUCUGUUGUUGACCUCUCCGGGACAGUAGGUGCCCAUGGCAUUGCUUUUGGUGCAGAGGCUGGUUUUGACACAUCUUCAGGAAGUUUUACCAAGUACAGUGCUGGAAUAAGCUUGGGAAAACCUGAUUAUAAUGCUUCCAUAAUUCUGGCGGACAAGGGAGAUGCACUCCGUGCUUCAUAUGUGUACCAUUUGGAUGAGAGUCAGAAAAAUGCUGUGGUUGGAGAAAUUACCAGAAGGUUCUCUACCAAUGAAAACACAUUCACUGUUGGAGGGCAAUAUGCUCUUGAUCCCCUAACUACUGUGAAGUCGAGGCUGAACAACUCUGGGAAGCUUGCAGCACUUCUACAGCAUGAGCUGAAGUCCAAGUCGAUUCUGACCAUCUCUGCUCACAGAAUUCUAUUGAUGGUACCAUGGGAUUUUCUCUGAAUGGACCGACAGGCAAAGCAUGAUGGAGAUUUGUUUUCUUUAACCCUUGAGUCUUCUCGUGUCUAGUACAAGGAAGCAUUUCUGGAUCUGGCCCUUGGUUUACUGCCAACAGUAAUGUGUUCAUCCCUUGGGGAGUAUAUCCAUCUGGAGAAUCCAAUGGCUCGAGAUGAAAAAGAGCAACCACUCGAGAUGAAAAAGAGCAACCAUUCCAAGUCGAUGAUAUAAAUAGAGAGAACAAAGCUGUCUUGGUGUACGUUGAAUGCUUCACAGAUGAAAAGGAUCCUGAGAAUAAAGAGAGAAUGUCGCCCGAACAUACGCACUGCCAAGGUUUCAGAUCGCUCAGGUGGCUGCUGAUAACUGAUGCACUUCUACUGAUAGAAGUUAUUUCUCCACCCCAACGCUCACGAAGACCUUUCGAACAAUAGCUGCCGUUACUAAUCAUUAUACUGGCAAUUAAGAGAAAACAAAAGGAAAGAAGCCGUCAUCAGAAUCGCUGUUCACCACCUUAAUUGUAUUAGUACACAAUUACUACCUCUUUGUUGGGAGCCCCUGUAAUCAUUAGAACAGCUGCUACGAUGUCAUAAACAUUCCGUGGAUUACGUCUAAAACCCACACAAUUAAACAUCCAUGACUCAAGAUUUAGGGUCUGCUUGGUAACAAACGGAAUCACUAUCAGGUUGAAAUGCUGUCAGAAGAUUUUGGAAUUUUUUUAAGGAAAUAAAACAAAAGUCACACCAUUGAAGGUUC
Molecule: non-coding RNA, 1764 nt
Organism: Elaeis guineensis (African oil palm)
Lineage: Eukaryota; Viridiplantae; Streptophyta; Magnoliopsida; Arecales; Arecaceae
Source: RefSeq, a predicted model, not a curated record